UCCCUGGUGGUCUAGUAGUUUGGACUUGGCGUUUUCACCACUGUGGCCCGGGUUCAAUCCCUGGUCUGGGAA
RNAcentral lists this transfer RNA (72 nucleotides) under Sus scrofa (pig). It matches the Rfam family "tRNA". From Rfam's summary of the family: Transfer RNA (tRNA) molecules are approximately 80 nucleotides in length. Their secondary structure includes four short double-helical elements and three loops (D, anti-codon, and T loops). The record is from Rfam by way of RNAcentral. Lineage: Eukaryota; Metazoa; Chordata; Mammalia; Artiodactyla; Suidae.